UAUGUUGUGCUGUAGUAUUAAUACUACAUAAAGUAACGCAUUAAAAACAAAACCGGAUAACACGGAAGUUGUGUUUAGAUUCUAUUUCAAUUUCACAAGCCAAGAAGUUACCUCAAAAAUAUGGCUUUUGUAUGGAACAAACAAUGUGAAGUUAUUGCGUUUGUAUGGAACAAACAAUGUGAAGUUACUCUGGCUCUUUGAACUAUUGAACUCUUUGUAAAGUCGACUUGGACUCAAGUGAAAUCUAGGUCCUGAUGAUUGAUGUCUUCGUUUCAUCCGUCAGAAUGUAUGUCAGAUGAAUUUAAAUUUUGCGGUGACUUGGAAAAAAUUUGGAUUGGCCAACAUAAUGAAAAACAAAAGUUGCUCCAUAAUAAUAAACAUGGACUCAAGUCAUAUAAUAACAAUUCUCGUUGGUUUAUUGGAGCGUAUAACAGAGUAAACUUUGCAACAAUGUGCUAUAAUUACUGUGUGACGUUGAAUGGUGGCUAUAAUUUGACGAAAGCCAGUAGACUUUUAUGUUUUGGAGGUGAUUUCUCUAGGAUUGGCGCGACAUUUUCUUGUCUCUUACUAUUUUUGUUGUUUAUGAUGCCAUUCGUUGCAGUUUUGCCAGUUUUCUUGCCAUUAAGCUCGUCGAAAAAACGAUAUUUGCUCCUGUCAACUGCAGGGGUAGAAUUUCUAUUGCUUCUUUGGCAUUUAUAUUGCCUUUGUGUGAUUAAGUUUAGAAUCUUGAAAAAAUGGACAAAUGCUUGGUUUACAUUUUCUGUCAACGCAGAUAGAUGGCAGGAUCACAGAAUGAGCUCGAACUACCACACAUUCUUUAUAGAAGGGAAACUACGAUGUAUGGACGUUUCUGUUUCGGAUCUUUAUCGACUGAAUUCUGGCUUAGAUGAAGUGACUCCAACAGAACGAGAAGAACUUGCAAGUGUUGUCGAACAGCACAGGCUUAAUCAAGCUGUUGUUUUAAUGUAUUCAAAAAAAUUUAUCAGAGAAUUUAUUUCGUGUUCCAUGCUACAGAUUUUUGCACUUGCAUUACUUUCAAUUACUUCACUCUCUGUUCUUCUAUGGAGGACUUUAGUAGAGUUUGCCGUGUAAACAUAAUUACAAGGCAAUUUUUGCUCGAUAGAUUAGGUCUAUCACAUCUGUAGAUACUGUUGGUAAAAGAUCUAUAUACACAUACAGCUAUAGUGAUGGUGAAAGAAACUACACAUACAGACAUGGUGAUGGCGAAAAUACUAAACUACUAUUUUGUUAUAAUUAUUGUGUGGCAAAUGCAAAUAACUUAUGUAUGUAUAAUAAAUUUAAGCAAAAUGUU
Molecule: long non-coding RNA, 1312 nt
Organism: Xenia sp. Carnegie-2017
Lineage: Eukaryota; Metazoa; Cnidaria; Anthozoa; Malacalcyonacea; Xeniidae
Exons: 2
Source: RefSeq, a predicted model, not a curated record